This 273-nucleotide ribosomal RNA is filed under the name uncultured prokaryote. RNAcentral's name for it is "partial 16S ribosomal RNA". It matches the Rfam family "Archaeal small subunit ribosomal RNA", at positions 455 to 727 of the family's 1478-position model. The record is from RNAcentral.
GUGCCAGCCGCCGCGGUAAUACCGGCAGCACGAGUGAUGACCGCUAAUAUUGGGCCUAAAGCGUCCGUAGCUGGGCGUGCAAGUCCAUCGGGUUAUCCGCGCGCUUAACGCGCGGGCGUCCGGUGGAAACUGCAUGGCUUGGGACCGGAAGACCUGAGGGGUACGUCCGCCGUAGGAGUGAAAUCCCGUAAUCCUGGACGGACCACCGGUGGCGAAAGCGCCUCUGGAAGACGGAUCCGACGGUGAGGGACGAAAGCUCGGGUCACGAACCGG